GAAGGCUUGCAUUAAACUCUGGCUCCAGGCCACUGCAGUACAUUGUGACCUUGAGGCGCUGUGGGCACACUAGACAUUGCCACCACCCCAAAGCCUCAUGCUGAUCCUUGAGAAGAGAGUAGGGCAAGUUAGCUAUUCUGUUAUGAGGAUACACAAGCAAUUUAUAAAGAGGCUCAUGUGGCAAUAAUGGGGAACUCUUGCCAACCCCAUGGAACGGAGCCAUCCAGGAAACAGACACCAAGGUCCAGUCCAACUGUCAGAUGCCUGAAGCUCUUGCCAACACCUUGAGCUUACCACAGUGGAAUGAGGACCUGGACCGGGCCACCCAGGUCGUGAAUUGUGCCCUUCCCUCAACCUCAGUCUUUCUCAACUGGCUGUUUCUUAAAGAGUAGAGCAAAAGAAAUGAAGCAGAGAGGGGAAGAGGUCCAUAGCUCCAGGCUGUGAACUUCCAGAAAUGCAAGCUACCUUUCAAACAAACAAACAAACAAACAAACAAACAAGCAAACAAAACCAAAAACAUUUCUUACAGGAAGAUGAUCAACGUAGACCAAGAAUGGAUGAACAAGGGUAACUGUGAGAAGAAAG
This 585-nucleotide long non-coding RNA is filed under the name Mus caroli (Ryukyu mouse). RNAcentral describes it as "lncRNA (MGP_CAROLIEiJ_G0004413.1)". Lineage: Eukaryota; Metazoa; Chordata; Mammalia; Rodentia; Muridae. The record is from RNAcentral.